RNAcentral lists this ribosomal RNA (531 nucleotides) under uncultured Flavobacterium sp. Its description in RNAcentral is "bacterial SSU rRNA". It matches the Rfam family "Bacterial small subunit ribosomal RNA", at positions 90 to 619 of the family's 1533-position model. Lineage: Bacteria; Pseudomonadati; Bacteroidota; Flavobacteriia; Flavobacteriales; Flavobacteriaceae. The record is from RNAcentral.
AGAGACCGGCGCACGGGUGCGUAACGCGUAUGCAAUCUACCUUUCACAAAGGGAUAGCCCAGAGAAAUUUGGAUUAAUACCUUAUAGUAAUACGACUUGGCAUCAAGAUGUAUUUAAAGAUUUAUCGGUGAAAGAUGAGCAUGCGUCCCAUUAGCUAGUUGGUAAGGUAACGGCUUACCAAGGCAACGAUGGGUAGGGGUCCUGAGAGGGAGAUCCCCCACACUGGUACUGAGACACGGACCAGACUCCUACGGGAGGCAGCAGUGAGGAAUAUUGGACAAUGGGCGCAAGCCUGAUCCAGCCAUGCCGCGUGCAGGAUGACGGUCCUAUGGAUUGUAAACUGCUUUUAUACGAGAAGAAACACCCCGACGUGUCGGGACUUGACGGUAUCGUAAGAAUAAGCACCGGCUAACUCCGUGCCAGCAGCCGCGGUAAUACGGAGGGUGCAAGCGUUAUCCGGAUUCACUGGGUUUAAAGGGUGCGUAGGCGGGUAUUUAAGUCAGUGGUGAAAUCCUAGAGCUUAACUCUAGA